GUCCUUAGUUACCAGCACGUUAUGGUGGGCACUCUAAGGAGACUGCCGGUGGACAAACCGGAGGAAGGUGGGGGAAUGACGUCAAGUCAUCAUGGCCCUUACGGCCUGGGCUACACACGUGCUACAAUGGCCGGCACAACGGGAAGCGAGUUCGCGAGGACGAGCGGAUCCCUCAAAGCCGGUCGCAGUUCGGAUUGAAGUCUGCAACUCGACUUCAUGAAGCUGGAAUCGCUAGUAAUCGUGGAUCAGCCAAGCCGCGGUGAAUACGUUCCCGGGCCUU
RNAcentral lists this ribosomal RNA (280 nucleotides) under uncultured Synergistaceae bacterium. RNAcentral's name for it is "partial 16S ribosomal RNA". It matches the Rfam family "Bacterial small subunit ribosomal RNA", at positions 1107 to 1382 of the family's 1533-position model. The record is from RNAcentral. Lineage: Bacteria; Thermotogati; Synergistota; Synergistia; Synergistales; Synergistaceae.